UUGGAGGGCAAGUCUGGUGCCAGCAGCCGCGGUAAUUCCAGCUCCAAUAGCGUAUAUUAAAGUUGUUGCAGUUAAAAAGCUCGUAGUUGAAUUUCGGGGUUAGUAGGUUGGUCAUGCCUCUGGUAUGUACUGGUCUCACUGAUUCCUCCUUCCCGAUGAGCCGUAAUGCCAUUAAUUUGGUGUUGCGGGGAAUUUGGACUGUUACUUUGAAAAAAUUAGAGUGUUUAAAGCAAGCUAACGCCUGAAUACAUUAGCAUGGAAUAAUGAAAUAGGACGUUCGAUCCUAUUUUGUUGGUUUCUAGGAUUGACGAAAUGGUUAAUAGGGAUAGUUGGGGGCAUUAGUAUUCAAUUGUCAGAGGUGAAAUUCUUGGAUUUAUUGAAGACUAACUACUGCGAAAGCAUUUGCCAAGGAUGUUUUCAUUAAUCAAGAACGAAAGUUAGGGGAUCGAAGACGAUCAGAUACCGUCGUAGUCUUAACCAUAAACUAUGCCGACUAGGGAUCGGAUGAUGUCAAUUUUUUAAUGACUCAUUCGGCGCCUUACGGGAAACCAAAGUGUUUGGGUUC
This 565-nucleotide ribosomal RNA is filed under the name uncultured Glomeromycotina. RNAcentral describes it as "SSU rRNA". It matches the Rfam family "Eukaryotic small subunit ribosomal RNA", at positions 548 to 1114 of the family's 1831-position model. Lineage: Eukaryota; Fungi; Glomeromycota. The record is from RNAcentral.